GGUGAACGCUGGCGGCGUGCCUAAGACAUGCAAGUCGAGCGGGGCAGGUUUAUACCUGUUCAGCGGCGGACGGGUGAGUAACGCGUGGGUGACCUACCCGGAAGAGCCGGACAACCUGGGGAAACCCAGGCUAAUCCGCCAUGUGGUCCUGUCCUGUGGGGCAGGACUAAAGGGUGGAUAGCCCGCUUCCGGAUGGGCCCGCGUCCCAUCAGCUAGUUGGUGGGGUAAAGGCCCACCAAGGCGACGACGGGUAGCCGGGCUGAGAGGAUGGCCAGCCACAGGAGCACUGAGAAACGGGCCCCACUCCGACGGGAGGCAGAAGUGAGGAAUCGUGCGCAAUGGACGGAAGUCUGACGGAGCGACGCCGCUGGGAGGAGGAAGCCCUUCGGGGUGUAAACUCCUGAACUGGGGACGAAAGCCCUGUGUAGGGGGAUGACGGUACCCAGGUAAUAGCGCCGGCCAACUCCGUG
RNAcentral lists this ribosomal RNA (470 nucleotides) under uncultured bacterium. Its description in RNAcentral is "partial 16S ribosomal RNA". It matches the Rfam family "Bacterial small subunit ribosomal RNA", at positions 28 to 507 of the family's 1533-position model. The record is from RNAcentral.